RNAcentral lists this ribosomal RNA (456 nucleotides) under uncultured bacterium. RNAcentral's name for it is "bacterial SSU rRNA". It matches the Rfam family "Bacterial small subunit ribosomal RNA", at positions 791 to 1250 of the family's 1533-position model. The record is from RNAcentral.
UAGUCCACGCCGUAAACGAUGGUCACUAGUUGUUGGGGUCUUGUACCUCAGUGAUUAAGAGAAAUUGAUAAGUGACCCACCUGGGGAGUACGAUCGCAAGAUUGAAACUCAAAGGAAUUGACGGGGGCCCGCACAAGCGGUGGAGCAUGUGGUUUAAUUCGAUGAUACGCGAGGAACCUUACCAGGGCUUAAAUGUAAGUUGCAUGAUUUAGAGAUAGAUCUUUCUUCGGACUACUUACAAGGUGCUGCAUGGUUGUCGUCAGCUCGUGCCGUGAGGUGUCAGGUUAAGUCCCGCAACGAGCGCAACCCCUGCCUUUAGUUGCCAUCAUUAAGUUGGGCACUCUAGAGGAACUGCCGGUGUCAAGCCGGAGGAAGGUGGGGACGACGUCAAGUCAUCAUGGCCCUUACGGGCCUGGGGCUACACACGUGCUACAAUGGAACGCACAGAGGGGCAGC